GCCUUGAUGGUGAAAUGGUAGACACGCGAGACUCAAAAUCUCGUGCUAAACAGCGUGGAGGUUCGAAUCCUCUUCAAGGCAU
This 82-nucleotide transfer RNA is filed under the name Taxus cuspidata (Japanese yew). RNAcentral describes it as "tRNA-Leu". It matches the Rfam family "tRNA". Rfam says of the family: Transfer RNA (tRNA) molecules are approximately 80 nucleotides in length. Their secondary structure includes four short double-helical elements and three loops (D, anti-codon, and T loops). Lineage: Eukaryota; Viridiplantae; Streptophyta; Pinopsida; Cupressales; Taxaceae. The record is from RNAcentral.